Molecule: ribosomal RNA, 1011 nt
Filed under: Bacillus pumilus
Lineage: Bacteria; Bacillati; Bacillota; Bacilli; Caryophanales; Bacillaceae
Description: bacterial SSU rRNA
Rfam family: Bacterial small subunit ribosomal RNA
Source: RNAcentral
GGUAAUGGCUCACCAAGGCGACGAUGCGUAGCCGACCUGAAGGGUGAUCGGCCACACUGGACUGAGCCGGCCCAGAUCCUACGGGAGGCAGCAGUAGGAAUCUUCCGCAAUGGACGAAAGUCUGACGGAGCAACGCCGCUGAUGAUGAAGGUUUUCGGAUCGUAAAGCUCUGUUGUUAGGGAAGAACAAGUGCGAGAGUAACUGCUCGCACCUUGACGGUACCUAACCAGAAAGCCACGGCUAACUACGUGCCAGCAGCCGCGGUAAUACGUAGGUGGCAAGCGUUGUCCGGAAUUAUUGGGCGUAAAGGGCUCGCAGGCGGUUUCUUAAGUCUGAUGUGAAAGCCCCCGGCUCAACCGGGGAGGGUCAUUGGAAACUGGGAAACUUGAGUGCAGAAGAGGAGAGUGGAAUUCCACGUGUAGCGGUGAAAUGCGUAGAGAUGUGGAGGAACACCAGUGGCGAAGGCGACUCUCUGGUCUGUAACUGACGCUGAGGAGCGAAAGCGUGGGGAGCGAACAGGAUUAGAUACCCUGGUAGUCCACGCCGUAAACGAUGAGUGCUAAGUGUUAGGGGGUUUCCGCCCCUUAGUGCUGCAGCUAACGCAUUAAGCACUCCGCCUGGGGAGUACGGUCGCAAGACUGAAACUCAAAGGAAUUGACGGGGGCCCGCACAAGCGGUGGAGCAUGUGGUUUAAUUCGAAGCAACGCGAAGAACCUUACCAGGUCUUGACAUCCUCUGACAACCCUAGAGAUAGGGCUUUCCCUUCGGGGACAGAGUGACAGGUGGUGCAUGGUUGUCGUCAGCUCGUGUCGUGAGAUGUUGGGUUAAGUCCCGCAACGAGCGCAACCCUUGAUCUUAGUUGCCAGCAUUCAGUUGGGCACUCUAAGGUGACUGCCGGUGACAAACCGGAGAAGGUGGGGAUGACGUCAAAUCAUCAUGCCCCUUAUGACUGGGCUACCGUGCUAAUGGAACAAAGGGCUGCAAAACCGCAGGUUUAACCAAUCCCAAAAU